This 537-nucleotide ribosomal RNA is filed under the name uncultured bacterium. RNAcentral describes it as "bacterial SSU rRNA". It matches the Rfam family "Bacterial small subunit ribosomal RNA", at positions 390 to 917 of the family's 1533-position model. The record is from RNAcentral.
AGCAAUGCCGCGUGUGUGAAGAAGGCCUUCGGGUUGUAAAGCACUUUUGUCNGGNAGGAAAGUCUGGGAACUAAUACUUUCUGGAUAUGACGUUACCUAAAGAAUCAGCACCGGCUAACUCUGUGCCAGCAGCCGCGGUAAUACANAGGGUGCAAGCGUUAAUCGGAAUUACUGGGCGUAAAGGGUCUGUAGGCGGAUCAUUAAGUCGGAUGUGAAAUCCCCGGGCUCAACCUGGGAACGGCAUUCNAUACUGGUGAUCUAGAGUGUGCAAGAGGAUGGGGGAAUUCCUGGUGUAGCAGUGAAAUGCGUAGAUAUCAGGAGGAACAUCAAUGGCGAAGGCACCUUUCUGGGGCAACACUGACGCUGAGAGACGAAAGCGUGGGGAGCAAACAGGAUUAGAUACCCUGGUAGUCCACGCCCUAAACGAUGUCAACUAAUUGUUCGGAGUCGAUUAGAUUCUGAGUAAUGAAGCUAACGCGAUAAGUUGACCGCCUGGGGAGUACGGCCGCAAGGUUGAAACUCAAAGAAAUUGACGGG